Listeria fleischmannii subsp. coloradonensis is the source of this 57-nucleotide non-coding RNA. The record is from Rfam. NCBI's taxonomy places the organism in Bacteria, Bacillati, Bacillota, Bacilli, Caryophanales, Listeriaceae.
GGUAUUGUUUACCCCACAAUAUGCCCCGGAAGGUUGUUGUGUUGAAUAAAACAAUAG